GAUGAACGCUGGCGGCGUGCCCAAUACAUGCAAGUCGAGCGAACAGACGAGGAGCUUGCUCCUCUGACGUUAGCGGCGGACGGGUGAGUAACACGUGGAUAACCUACCUAUAAGACUGGGAUAACUUCGGGAAACCGGAGCUAAUACCGGAUAAUAUAUUGAACCGCAUGGUUCAAUAGUGAACGACGGUUUUGCUGUCACUUAUAGAUGGAUCCGCGCCGCAUUAGCUAGUUGGUAAGGUAACGGCUUACCAAGGCAACGAUGCGUAGCCGACCUGAGAGGGUGAUCGGCCACACUGGAACUGAGACACGGUCCAGACUCCUACGGGAGGCAGCAGUAGGGAAUCUUCCGCAAUGGGCGAAAGCCUGACGGAGCAACGCCGCGUGAGUGAUGAAGGUCUUCGGAUCGUAAAACUCUGUUAUUAGGGAAGAACAAAUGUGUAAGUAACUAUGCACGUCUUGACGGUACCUAAUCAGAAAGCCGCGGCUAACUACGUG
Molecule: ribosomal RNA, 497 nt
Filed under: uncultured bacterium
Lineage: Bacteria
Description: partial 16S ribosomal RNA
Rfam family: Bacterial small subunit ribosomal RNA
Source: RNAcentral